RNAcentral lists this unclassified non-coding RNA (488 nucleotides) under Hevea brasiliensis (rubber tree). The record is from RNAcentral. Lineage: Eukaryota; Viridiplantae; Streptophyta; Magnoliopsida; Malpighiales; Euphorbiaceae.
AAUCACCAUUUUCAGCUGCAGAUCUUGCUUCAGCCAUAGCUUCUGCUGAUUGAAGCCGGUUACGCUGCUUGUCAACUUCCAUUGACACAAUAAGUUGUCCGAUUGUGUCAGGCCUCUCAAUUUUGACAUCACCAAUAUGAUCCAAGGUUACUAAAUCCAAGUUGUUCGAUUGUGUCGGGUCUUUAUAUGUACACUUAACUUUUACAAGGGUCAUCAUAUCGUUGCUCGAACUAUCAGCAGGAAUAUCUAACAUAACCAAGAAAUCUCUUUCUUCAUCUGCAUAUAAGUCUCCAACUUCAAUAUUGCCACUUCUGUUAUCAGAUGCUAAACUGGCGUUAUAACUUCCAGCUUUUAUUGAAUUGAGACGCAAAACAGGGUGAACGCUUUCAACUUCCACACACAAUUCCUGGACCACCACGCUUAAAAGGCCACCUAUGCACUGAGCAAACGCAUCUUGAAUAACAUUCUCAGCUUCUAUGAAGGAAAAU